Long non-coding RNA from Syngnathus acus (greater pipefish), 651 nucleotides. RefSeq lists it as uncharacterized. The record is from RefSeq and is a predicted model, not a curated record. The transcript has 3 exons. Lineage: Eukaryota; Metazoa; Chordata; Actinopteri; Syngnathiformes; Syngnathidae.
ACGAAUCGUUCACUCACGAGCCAACACUAGUCGUGAGCUUCUGAAACACUUCCGGGUCUGAUUCCCCCCCCCCCACACACACACACUCGUCGCGGGGAGCGGAAAAAACAAGCAGAGCUAACUAUAAGCUGCAAUUAUGGUCUGACUUAUUAUAAAAGCGAGCAUCUACGCGGUCAGGAAGAUCCGGGCGGCCAUUGCUAAGAGAGAGCAACUGGAAGAGCCCAUUGUGACGCCAUGUAGUGCUAUCGCUGAAAAGAGAGCGGCACAAGCCCUGAGAGAGCCACCAGAAGCCGUAAUGACUUCAAAUCACAUCAGCGGGGAAGUGGUCUCCGGGAUGCCUUUGACUGUGCAGAAAUAUGGCUCUUGAUGUUAAAACACGAAUCACACAGGUCAUUCAUAAAUAGCCUAAACAGAAUCAGUUGCCUUUUGCAUCAUAGCAACCGAAGCAAACAGCAUUGUAAUGCUAAUAUGUCUUAAAUAUUGUUAAUUGAAUAUUCAGUAAUGACCACAGUGUGCUCUUGUUACCCUGCUGUAAAAUGUUGAUAAUGUCUGUUGCAACGUGUGAAGACUCAACUCACAAACCUCUCCAAGGAGGCUGAGCAGGUCUGAUGUGUUUUGCAAUGAUAAUAUCAAUAAACACCUGAAACUCUU